Rosa chinensis is the source of this 252-nucleotide long non-coding RNA. RefSeq lists it as uncharacterized. The transcript has 4 exons. The record is from RefSeq and is a predicted model, not a curated record. Lineage: Eukaryota; Viridiplantae; Streptophyta; Magnoliopsida; Rosales; Rosaceae.
AAGAAUGCUGAGAAUAGAAAGCUUAUUUACAACAAAUUCAAACAGUACACCAAGGAGUACGCAGAGAAGUAAGUCGUCGGCAAAAAUGGUUUCCUUCGAGAUGAAUGAUCGGAAAAAUCCUCUUCUUCUCAGGGGUGACUUUAACAAGGGAUUAUUGGAGUUGUGUAGAUACUUUUCACGAAGAGGAGCAAACGUGAAAGAAGAAAAGAAAACAAAGCUUUGACUAUGGAAUUGUUGGCUGUGGCAUAUUUG